Molecule: non-coding RNA, 2459 nt
Organism: Oncorhynchus mykiss (rainbow trout)
Lineage: Eukaryota; Metazoa; Chordata; Actinopteri; Salmoniformes; Salmonidae
Source: RefSeq, a predicted model, not a curated record
CAACCAGAGUAGCAUCUCACCCUGAGGUCACUGAUGUCACACCCAAUCCCCUCUAUCAAACCAACCAGAGUAGCAUCUCACCCUGAGGUCACUGAUGUCACACCCAAUCCCCUCUAUCAAACCAACCAGAGUAGCAUCUCACCCUGAGGUCACUGAUGUCCCACCCAAUCCCCUCUAUCAAACCAACCAGAGUAGCAUCUCACCCUGAGGUCACUGAUGUCACACCCAAUCCCCUCUAUCAAACCAACCAGAGUAGCAUCUCACCCUGAGGUCACUGAUGUCACACCCAAUCCCCUCUAUCAAACCAACCAGAGUAGCAUCUCACCCUGAGGUCACUGAUGUCACACCAAAUCCCCUCUAUCAAACCAACCAGAGUAGCAUCUCACCCUGAGGUCACUGAUGUCACACCCAAUCCCCUCUAUCAAACCAACCGGAGUAGCAUCUCACCCUGAGGUCACUGAUGUCACACCCAAUCCCCUCUAUCAAACCAACCAGAGUAGCAUCUCACCCUGAGGUCACUGAUGUCCCACCCAAUCCCCUCUAUCAAACCAACCAGAGUAGCGUCUCACCCUGAGGUCACUGAUGUCACACCAAAUCCCCUCUAUCAAACCAACCAGAGUAGCAUCUCACCCUGAGGUCACUGAUGUCACACCCAAUCCCCUCUAUCAAACCAACCGGAGUAGCAUCUCACCCUGAGGUCACACCCAAUCCCCUCUAUCAAACCAACCAGAGUAGCAUCUCACCCUGAGGUCACUGAUGUCCCACCCAAUCCCCUCUAUCAAACCAACCAGAGUAGCAUCUCACCCUGAGGUCACUGAUGUCCCACCCAAUCCCCUCUAUCAAACCAACCAGAGUAGCAUCUCACCCUGAGGUCACUGAUGUCCCACCCAAUCCCCUCUAUCAAACCAACCAGAGUAGCAUCUCACCCUGAGGUCACUGAUGUCACACCAAAUCCCCUCUAUCAAACCAACCAGAGAAGCAUCUCACCCUGAGGUCACUGAUGUCACACCCAAUCCCCUCUAUCAAUCCAACCAGAGUAGCAUCUCACCCUGAGGUCACUGAUGUCACACUGAAUCCCCUCUAUCAAACCAACCAGAGUAGCAUCUCACCCUGAGGUCACACCCAAUUCCCUCUAUCAAACCAACCAGAGUAGCAUCUCACCCUGAGGUCACUGAUGUCACACCAAAUCCCCUCUAUCAAACCAACCAGAGUAGCAUCUCACCCUGAGGUCACUGAUGUCACACCCAAUCCCCUCUAUCAAUCCAACCAGAAUAGCAUCUCACCCUGAGGUCACUGAUGUCACACCCAAUCCCCUCUAUCAAUCCAACCAGAGUAGCAUCUCACCCUGAGGUCACUGAUGUCCCACCCAAUCCCCUCUAUCAAACCAACCAGAGUAGCAUCUCACCCUGAGGUCACUGAUGUCCCACCCAAUCCCCUCUAUCAAACCAACCAGAGUAGCAUCUCACCCUGAGGUCACUGAUGUCACACCAAAUCCCCUCUAUCAAACCAACCAGAGUAACAUCUCACCCUGAGGUCACUGAUGUCACACCCAAUCCCCUCUAUCAAUCCAACCAGAGUAGCAUCUCACCCUGAGGUCACUGAUGUCACACCCAAUCCCCUCUAUCAAACCAACCAGAGUAGCAUCUCACCCUGAGGUCACUGAUGUCCCACCCAAUCCCCUCUAUCAAACCAACCAGAGUAGCAUCUCACCCUGAGGUCACUGAUGUCCCACCCAAUCCCCUCUAUCAAUCCAACCAGAGUAGCAUCUCACCCUGAGGUCACUGAUGUCACACUGAAUCCCCUCUAUCAAACCAACCAGAGUAGCAUCUCACCCUGAGGUCACACCCAAUCCCCUCUAUCAAACCAACCAGAGUAGCAUCUCACCCUGAGGUCACUGAUGUCUCACCCAAUCCCCUCUAUCAAACCAACCAGAGUAGCAUCUCACCCUGAGGUCACUGAUGUCCCACCCAAUCCCCUCUAUCAAACCAACCAGAGUAGCAUCUCACCCUGAGGUCACUGAUGUCCCACCCAAUCCCCUCUAUCAAACCAACCAGAGUAGCAUCUCACCCUGAGGUCACUGAUGUCACACCAAAUCCCCUCUAUCAAACCAACCAGAGUAGCAUCUCACCCUGAGGUCACUGAUGUCACACCCAAUCCCCUCUAUCAAACCAACCGGAGUAGCAUCUCACCCUGAGGUCACUGAUGUCACACCCAAUCCCCUCUAUCAAACCAACCAGAGUAGCAUCUCACCCUGAGGUCACUGAUGUCCCACCCAAUCCCCUCUAUCAAACCAACCAGAGUAGCAUCUCACCCUGAGGUCACUGAUGUCACACCAAAUCCCCUCUAUCAAACCAACCAGAGUAGCAUCUCACCCUGAGGUCACUGAUGUCACACCCAAUCCCCUCUAUCAAACCAACCGGAGUAGCAUCUCACCCUGAGGUCACUGAUGUCACACCCAA